Molecule: ribosomal RNA, 381 nt
Filed under: uncultured eukaryote
Lineage: Eukaryota
Description: partial 18S ribosomal RNA
Rfam family: Eukaryotic small subunit ribosomal RNA
Source: RNAcentral
CAAUAGCGUAUAUUAAAGUUGUUGCAGUUAAAAAGCUCGUAGUUGGAUUUCUGGUUGAAGCGACCGGUCGGGCGUUGAUUCGUCUGCACUGGAGUCGGCUUUGGCCAUCCUCUAGGAAAGUGCGUCUGGUAUUAAGUUAUCGGGCGUAUGAUCCUGGUCUUUUACUGUGAAAAAAUUAGAGUGUUUAAAGCAGGCCUUCGCCUUGAAUACAUUAGCAUGGAAUAAUAAGAUAGGACUUUGGUCUAUUUUGUUGGUUUGCAGACCGAAGUAAUGAUUAAUAGGGAUAGUUGGGGGUAUUUAUAUUCCGAUGUCAGAGGUGAAAUUCUUAGAUUUUCGGAAGAUAAACUUAUGCGAAAGCAUUUACCAAGGAUGUUUNCAUUA